Molecule: ribosomal RNA, 460 nt
Filed under: uncultured bacterium
Lineage: Bacteria
Description: partial 16S ribosomal RNA
Rfam family: Bacterial small subunit ribosomal RNA
Source: RNAcentral
CCUACGGGAGGCAGCAGUGAGGAAUAUUGGUCAAUGGCCGGAAGGCUGAACCAGCCAUGCCGCGUGAAGGUCAGUGCCCUAUGGGCGUUAAACUUCUUUUGUGCGGGAGCAAUAAUGGUCAAGUGUGGCCAGACGAGAGUACCGUACGAAUAAGCAUCGGCUAACUCCGUGCCAGCAGCGGCGGUAAUACGGGGGAUGCACGCGUUAUCCGGAUUUAUUUGGUUUAAAGGGUGCGUAGGCUGUGAGGUAAGUCAGCGGUGAAAUGCCCCCGCUCAACGGGGUGAAGUGCCAUUGAUACUGCCUUGCUGGAAUGCGGAUGCCGUGGGAGGAAUGUGUGGUGUAGCGGUGAAAUGCAUAGAUAUCACACAGAACACCGAUUGCGAAGGCAUCUCACGAAUCCGCGAUUGACGCUGAUGCACGAAAGCGUGGGUAUCAAACAGGAUUAGAUACCCUUGUAGUC